This 399-nucleotide ribosomal RNA is filed under the name uncultured bacterium. RNAcentral's name for it is "bacterial SSU rRNA". It matches the Rfam family "Bacterial small subunit ribosomal RNA", at positions 355 to 744 of the family's 1533-position model. The record is from RNAcentral.
UGGGGAAUUGUUCGCAAUGGGCGCAAGCCUGACGACGCAACGCCGCGUGGAGGACGAAGAUCUUCGGAUCGUAAACUCCUGUCGAGCGGAACGAACGGCCCGUCACUGAAUAGGUGGCGGGAAUGACGGUACCGCGAGAGGAAGCCCCGGCUAACUCCGUGCCAGCAGCCGCGGUAAUACGGGGGGGGUCUAGCGUUGUUCGGAAUUACUGGGCGUAAAGGGCGCGUAGGCGGCCGCCUCAGUCGAACGUGAAAUCCCCGGGCUCAACCCGGGAACUGCGUCCGAUACUGGGUGGCUUGAAUCCGGGAGAGGGAUGCGGAAUUCCAGGUGUAGCGGUGAAAUGCGUAGAUAUCUGGAGGAACACCGGUGGCGAAGGCGGCAUCCUGGACCGGCAUUGAC